Molecule: small RNA, 578 nt
Filed under: Pongo abelii (Sumatran orangutan)
Lineage: Eukaryota; Metazoa; Chordata; Mammalia; Primates; Hominidae
Description: processed transcript
Source: RNAcentral
CGGGCGCCCCCACCCCCAGUCCCGAGCGCGGACCUGAAACGGAGAGGAGAGGUCGGUGCCUCCAACUCGGGGCGGCAGUCGAGAGGCGCGCGUCGUUGCUCUGGGACUCACUGCCAACCAACCCCCAUUCCUCAGGGGCUCGUUCCCUUCCCCAAGGCUCAGGACGUAGAGCCUGGGCGGGGCCCCCUCCCCAGCAGCGGUCAGAGGACCUGCACGAGUCAGACUCCACUUCUGGUGCACCUGGGACCUUGAGUCUUGCUCUGUUGCCCAGGCUGGAGUGCAAUGGUGCAAUCUCAGCCUACUGCAACCUCCACCUCCCAGGUUCAAGCCAUCCUCCUGCCUCAGCCUCCCGAGUAGCUGGGAGCCAUCACACCCAGCUAGCCAUCUUCUAAUUUUCAUUCCUUCAAAGGAAUCAGUGACAUUCAAAGAUGUGUCUGUGGACUUCACCCAGGAAGAAUGGUACCAUGUCGACCCUGCUCAGAGGAGCUUAUACAGGGAUGUGAUGCUGGAGAACUAUAGCCACCUGGUUUCUCUUGGAUAUCAAGUUUCCAAGCCAGAGGUGAUCUUCAAAUUGGAGA